Small nucleolar RNA from Dipodomys ordii (Ord's kangaroo rat), 105 nucleotides. The record is from Ensembl. NCBI's taxonomy places the organism in Eukaryota, Metazoa, Chordata, Mammalia, Rodentia, Heteromyidae.
AUCCUUUUCCAGUUCAUAAGCGCGAUGAUUGGGUGCUCACGCGCUUGCGUGACAUGUGCCUCCUUCUAAACCUUGUUACGACGUGGGCACAUUACCGAUCUGACG